Molecule: ribosomal RNA, 420 nt
Filed under: uncultured eukaryote
Lineage: Eukaryota
Description: partial 18S ribosomal RNA
Rfam family: Eukaryotic small subunit ribosomal RNA
Source: RNAcentral
CCCUUAGUUAUCCUAGGUCGCACGCGCCAUACAAUGUGGCGCCCAACGAGUCUCCUUGGCCGACAGGAUGUCCCGCGAGCGAUCGGCGACGCAGCCAGCUCGGUCUUCGGGCAGACUCGGUGAGAGUGGCCCGUCCUCCUGAGAGGGCGAUCGUCGAUGCCUCGGGAUUCUGGGCAAUCUGGCAGAGCGCUACGUGACUGGGCUAGACUUUUGUAAUUUUUGGUCUUGAACGAGGAAUGCCUAGUAAUCGCAGGUCAGCAUCCUGCGAUGAUUCGGUCCCUGCCCUUUGUACACACCGCCCGUCGCUCCAUCCGUGGCAUGCGCCGGUGAAGAGGGGGAGGCAGCGUCGGCCGUGUAACAGCGGAUCGUACGUGGAACCCCUCUGAACCUUCGCACGUAGAGGAAGGAGAAGUCGUAACA